UAGGGAAUCUUCCGCAAUGGGCCAAAGCCUGACGGAGCAACGCCGCGUGAGUGAUGAAGGGUUUCGGCUCGUAAAACUCUGUUAUUAGGGAAGAACAACUGUGUAAGUAACUGUGCACGUCUUGACGGUACCUAAUCAGAAAGCCACGGCUAACUACGUGCCAGCAGCCGCGGUAAUACGUAGGUGGCAAGCGUUAUCCGGAAUUAUUGGGCGUAAAGCGCGCGUAGGCGGUUUCUUAAGUCUGAUGUGAAAGCCCACGGCUCAACCGUGGAGGGUCAUUGGAAACUGGGAAACUUGAGUGCAGAAGAGGAAAGUGGAAUUCCAUGUGUAGCGGUGAAAUGCGCAGAGAUAUGGAGGAACACCAGUGGCGAAGGCGACUUUCUGGUCUGUAACUGACGCUGAUGUGCGAAAGCGUGGGGAUCAAACAGG
Molecule: ribosomal RNA, 429 nt
Filed under: bacterium
Lineage: Bacteria
Description: partial 16S ribosomal RNA
Rfam family: Bacterial small subunit ribosomal RNA
Source: RNAcentral